GACGAACGCUGGCGGCGUGCUUAACACAUGCAAGUCGAACGAAAGACGGAAAGAGCUUGCUCUUUUCAGAAUUGAGUGGCAAACGGGUGAGUAACACGUAAACAACCUGCCUUCAGGAUGGGGACAACAGACGGAAACGACUGCUAAUACCGAAUAAGUUCCAAGGGCCGCAUGGCCCAUGGAAGAAAAGGUGGCCUCUACCUGUAAGCUAUCGCCUGAAGAGGGGUUUGCGUCUGAUUAGCUGGUUGGAGGGGUAACGGCCCACCAAGGCGACGAUCAGUAGCCGGUCUGAGAGGAUGAACGGCCACACUGGAACUGAGACACGGUCCAGACUCCUACGGGAGGCAGCAGUGGGGAAUCUUCCGCAAUGGGCGAAAGCCUGACGGAGCAACGCCGCGUGAGUGAUGACGGCCUUCGGGUUGUAAAACUCUGUGAUCCGGGACGAAAAGGCAGAGUGCGAAGAACAAACUGCAUUGACGGUACCGGAAAAGCAAGCCACGCUAACUAC
RNAcentral lists this ribosomal RNA (508 nucleotides) under Dialister invisus. RNAcentral describes it as "bacterial SSU rRNA". It matches the Rfam family "Bacterial small subunit ribosomal RNA", at positions 28 to 504 of the family's 1533-position model. The record is from RNAcentral. Lineage: Bacteria; Bacillati; Bacillota; Negativicutes; Veillonellales; Veillonellaceae.